Molecule: ribosomal RNA, 207 nt
Filed under: uncultured bacterium
Lineage: Bacteria
Description: partial 16S ribosomal RNA
Rfam family: Bacterial small subunit ribosomal RNA
Source: RNAcentral
UUCGUAGGCUGCGCAGAAAGUAGGGUGUGAAAGCCCUCGGCUCAACCGAGGAAUUGCGCUCUAAACUACUGUGCUUGAGGAACCUAGAGGUGAGCAGAACUGAUGGUGGAGCGGUGAAAUGCGUUGAUAUCAUCAGGAAUACCGGAGGCGAAGGCGGCUCACUGGGGGUUUUCUGACGCUGAGGAACGAAAGCCAGGGUAGCGAACG